UACGAAUGUGGCAAGCGUUGUUCGGAAUCACUGGGCGUAAAGAAUGCGUAGGCGGCUUGACAAGUCGAGAGUGAAAUCCCAGGGCUUAACCCUGGAACUGCUUUCGAAACUGUUUUGCUAGAGUCCCGGAGGGGUUGGCGGAAUUCCGAGUGUAGAGGUGAAAUUCGCAGAUAUUCGGAGGAACACCAGUGGCGUAGGCGGCCAACUGGACGGGAACUGACGCUGAGGCAUGAAAGUGUGGGGAUCAAACAGGAUUAGAUACCCUGGUAGUCCACACCGUAAACUAUGUGUGCUAGUUGUCGGGCAGUUUACUGUUCGGUGACGGAGCUAACGUUUUAAGCACACCGCCUGGGAAGUACGGCCGCAAGGUUAAA
RNAcentral lists this ribosomal RNA (374 nucleotides) under uncultured bacterium. RNAcentral's name for it is "bacterial SSU rRNA". It matches the Rfam family "Bacterial small subunit ribosomal RNA", at positions 524 to 898 of the family's 1533-position model. The record is from RNAcentral.